This 73-nucleotide transfer RNA is filed under the name Fasciola hepatica (liver fluke). RNAcentral describes it as "tRNA-Thr". The record is from RNAcentral. Lineage: Eukaryota; Metazoa; Platyhelminthes; Trematoda; Plagiorchiida; Fasciolidae.
ACCGCGAUAGCUUAGCUGGCAUGGUAUCUACCCGGUAGGAGGAGAGUCACCACUUCGAUUCUGGUUUGCGGUU